Zingiber officinale is the source of this 634-nucleotide long non-coding RNA. RefSeq lists it as uncharacterized. The record is from RefSeq and is a predicted model, not a curated record. NCBI's taxonomy places the organism in Eukaryota, Viridiplantae, Streptophyta, Magnoliopsida, Zingiberales, Zingiberaceae. The transcript has 2 exons.
AUUGUUUUGUUAAUCCAAUAUGGAGAGAAUUAAAUUUAAAGCAUGGUUAUAAUUAUAACCCGAGUAUAAGAAAGGGAAUUAGGUUUUGAUUUUCCAAAAACCAAAACAUUUUCUCCCGAAAUUUUUCUUCUCCUUCUCCCUCGCGACGGCGCCUUCUCUCUCGGAGGAAACCAAGAGGAAGCUAGGUUUUGGGUCUCCGGCGCCGGCGAAGCCUUAUUCCAGCCAUCCUUCACCGUGGGUGGUCAUCCCGACGGAGGAGAACUUGGGAGCACGAAGGGAUCGCCGGGAAAAGUAGCUACCCGAACCCUAGAAGCUUCCUUUCCUUCUUUCCGAUUGUAAGUCCAAGAACCCUCGAUAAAGGAAAAGCUAAGAUAUGAAGGGAGACGACAGGGUGGUGGUGAUGAUGAAUGUGUGUGGUGACUGGACUAUGGAGAGAUCCAGAGGGUUCUAGCAAACCUGCAGGACUUAGUUAUUUAGAGUUUAUGCUCUAAUUCCUUUCUUUAAUUACAGUUAUGAAAAUUAUGAGAUUGUGAUUGAGUUUGAUUCGGAUUGUAGCUUAUUAUGUUCCAUUCUGGGAGAUUGUGUUUAGUUCUUGUUGUUAGACUAGUCUUUUGGUUAUAAUAUGAAUUUAUUA